AGAUUGAACGCUGGCGGCAUGCCUAACACAUGCAAGUCGAACGGGAGUAGCAAUACUCUAGUGGCGGACGGGUGAGGAAUACGUAGGAAUUUGCCCUUAAGUGGGGGAUAACCCGGGGAAACCCGGAUUAAUACCGCAUGACCUCGAAAGAGCAAAGUGGGGGAUCGCAAGACCUCACGCUUUUGGAGAAGCCUACGUCGGAUUAGCUAGUUGGUGAGGUAAUGGCUCACCAAGGCGACGAUCCGUAACUGGUCUGAGAGGAUGAUCAGUCACACCGGAACUGAGACACGGUCCGGACUCCUACGGGAGGCAGCAGUGGGAAUAUGGACAGUGGGCGCAAGCCUGAUCCAGCAAUGCCGCGUGUGUGAAGAAGGCCUUGGUUGUAAAGCAACGUUUAAGUAGGGAAAGAAAAACUCGACGUACUAACACAGU
This 432-nucleotide ribosomal RNA is filed under the name uncultured soil bacterium. RNAcentral's name for it is "bacterial SSU rRNA". It matches the Rfam family "Bacterial small subunit ribosomal RNA", at positions 26 to 467 of the family's 1533-position model. The record is from RNAcentral.